CAAUAGCGUAUAUUGAAGCUGUUGCGGUUAAAAAGCUCGUAGUUGGAUUUCUGUCAAGGACAACUGGUCCGCCCCUCGGGUGAGCACAUAGUUUGGUCUUGGCAUCUUGUUGGAAACUGUUGCUGCACUUGGUUGUGUGGCGCAGUGUCCAGCACUUUCACUUUGAGGAAAUUGGAGUGUUUCAAGCAGGCACAUGCCUUUGGACACAGUAGCAUGGAAUAAUUAGAUUGGGCUUUUGCUCCAACUUGUCGGUUUCUGGAGCUGAGGUGAGAAUUAAUGGGGAUUGUUGGGGGCAUCCGAAUUUAGCCGUCAGAGGUGAAAUUCUUGGAUCUGCUAAAGACGGACAACUGCGAAAGCGUUUGCCCAGGAUGUUUUCAUUGA
RNAcentral lists this ribosomal RNA (381 nucleotides) under uncultured eukaryote. RNAcentral describes it as "partial 18S ribosomal RNA". It matches the Rfam family "Eukaryotic small subunit ribosomal RNA", at positions 592 to 976 of the family's 1831-position model. The record is from RNAcentral.